This 439-nucleotide ribosomal RNA is filed under the name uncultured bacterium. RNAcentral's name for it is "partial 16S ribosomal RNA". It matches the Rfam family "Bacterial small subunit ribosomal RNA", at positions 338 to 795 of the family's 1533-position model. The record is from RNAcentral.
CCUACGGGGGGCAGCAGUGGGGAAUAUUGCACAAUGGGCGAAAGCCUGAUGCAGCAACGCCGCGUGAGCGAUGACGGCCUUCUGGUCGUAAAGCUCUGUCCUCAAGGAAGUUAAUGACGGUACUUGAGGAGGAAGCUCCGGCUAACUACGUGCCAGCAGCCGCGGUACUACGUAGGGGGCUAGCGUUAUCCGGAAUUACUGGGCGUAAAGGGGGCGUAGGUGGUUUCUUAAGGCAGAGGUGAAAGGCUACGGCUAAACCGUAGUAAGCCUUUGGAACUGGGGAACUUGAGUGCAGGAGAGGUGAGUGGAAUUCCUAGUGUAGCGGUGAAAUGCGUAGAUAUUAGGAGGAACACCAGUUGCGAAGGCGGCUCUCGGGACUGUAACUGACACUGAGGCACGAAAGCGUGGGGAGCAAACAGGAUUAGAUACCCUUGUAGUC